RNAcentral lists this long non-coding RNA (7711 nucleotides) under Gossypium barbadense (sea-island cotton). RNAcentral describes it as "long non-coding RNA (GBAR_LNC010216)". The record is from RNAcentral. Lineage: Eukaryota; Viridiplantae; Streptophyta; Magnoliopsida; Malvales; Malvaceae.
AAAAUAACCACAUCAUGUUUACCAAAACAUAAGGCAUCAUAAAUACAUCACAUAUCACAUAUUAACUCAUAACAUAAGUCAAAUUCAACUUCAUCAACAACACCAUUUACAAGCCAACUCACAUGGCUAAAUUCAAAGUUCAAAACAUACCAAAAUGACACUUGCCUAUACAUGCCAUAUACCAUAUAUACAAAACUUCAAAAGUACCAACAAGUUGAUCGAUAGUGUGACGAUGUUCCUGAUGAUCCCCAAAUCCGAGCUAGCUUCGAUUAUCUAUAAAACAAGGAAAGAACACACAAAGUAAAUUUUAAAAGCUUAGUAAGCCAUAUACAAAUAAAUUAUCACAUGAAUCAAUAUCAUUUCCAGCAAUAGGCAACUAUGAGUAAACAUUUAUAAGAUCACCAACCCUUCUCAUUGUACACAUAUUCAAUAUCAUAAUUGAAUUCAUCAAAUACUUCCCUUUCAUUACUUGUAUGAAUCUCGUAUGUACUUGAGCCAUUUAACUCAUUCACACAUUUUUUAUCGACUUGAUUUUUCCCGUUGAACCAUUCAGAAUCGUUAAGGAUACUCGAAAAUCACAUAAAGCUCAUACAAUGCCAUAUCCCAAAUAUGGUCUUACAUGUUAUCACAUAUCGAUGCCAUUGUCCCAGACAGGGUCUUACACGAAAUCAUAUAAUGAUCCCAAUGUCCCAGACAUGGUCUUACAUGUAAUCACAAUACAAUUCCAAUGUCCCAGACAUGGUCUUACAUGUAGUCACAUCUUGAUAGCCUAAUGUAUGACAUUCAUAUCCUAUAUUAGUCCUAAGGUUCGUACGAGACUUUUGGAUAUCGUACUUUUGUCGAUUCUUGCUUGUAUUUGCUCGUUCAACAUUCAUAGCAAUUUAAUGAUAAUGAAACAUAUAUAAUUCAAUUCAAAGACAUUUAUUUGCAUAUGAACUUACCUCGAUCGUAGAAACAACAAAACUAGCUGAUUAAUCAAGUACUUUGUUCUUGCCUCGAUCUAAGCCCGAUUUCUUUCGUUCUUGAUCUAUAUACAUUCAAAAUUAACUCAUUUAUUUAUUUAUUCAUUCAAUUUAAUCCACAAACACAUAUUUGAGCAUUUUUACACUUUAGCCCCUAAAGUUCCACAUUUAUUCAAUUUAGUCCCUAUUUCAUAAAUACACAAAAUUCACAAAAUUCAAUAAGACCCAUGCUUGGCCGAAUUACCCUUAUGCCCUUAAUAGCUCAUAUCUUUCAUUUAUUCACACUUUUAACCCCACAUUUUUAUCUUUUCACAAAUUAAUCCCUAAUUUGUAUUUUCUCUAAAAAUUACUUAACAAAACAUAUUAAUCUAUCAUUUAUAUUCCAUUUUUCAUCAUUAACCAUCACAAAACACAUAGAUUCAACAAUUGUACUUCAUAAAUUCAUCAACAAAUUCAAAAAUUAAGGUACAGGCUAGCUAGUACUCAAAGAAACAAUUACAAAAACGUAAAAAUCAUCAAAAACCCAGCAAAGAACAUACCUUAAUCAAGGAAUAUGCUAGCUGAAUAUCAAAGCCCUAAAAUGUCUUCUUCUUCUCUAUUUUCGGUUCAAAAAGAAAGAAAGAUGGACAAAAUUUAUGUUUUGGUGUAUUUUAAUUAACCUAUUUAACAAUUACCAAAUUAACCUUGACAUUAAACCAUUAAUUAACAUUCAUUUAAUGGUCAUUUAUGUCAAAUUCCACUAUCAAUGGUCUAAUAACAUCAUAAGAACAUUUGGUUUAAUAAACCAUAUCAAAUAGACACUAUUAACUUAUAACAUGCUACUUUUGCAUUUUAAGCGAUUUAGUCCUUUCAUCAAAUUAAGCACUCAAACAUUAAAAUUAUUUCACGAAAUUUUCAUACAUAUAUAAUCACAUGUUAUAAACACCAAAAAUAAUAUUAAAAAUAAUUUUCUGACCUCAGAUUUGUAGUUCUGAAAUCUCUGUUCUGAUUUAGCUAAAAUCGGGCUGUUACACCCGGCUUAUGCACACCUCUACCCACAAGCAUGAAGGCAACAUAUAUCAUACUAAAUCAAAAUUCGAAAUACCAAAUAUCUCUAAAACUUGAAAUUCACCAAACCUUGAAUAUCCAUAUAGUUCGUUAUACAACUUAAUGAAAGAUGCACAAUAUUAUUAACUAACAACUCAACUAAAUUUGUCAUUAUAUUAUUCACUUUCAGAUUGCCUAGAUGAUAAUAUAUUUGAUUGGAUUUAAAUUGUGAUAAUCUUAUAUUCAUUUAUGAAUAACUUCACUUGUAGUGUUCAUAAUAUGAUUUAGUUCCAUACUCCCGAACUCAAGGAUUUGGAACAUAACAACACAUAUACUCAUGAGACAAAUCCCAUGAGCAUACAAAGCAACAUAUACUAUACUAAAUUAAAAUCUAAAAUAUCAAACGAGUCCAAAAUUUCAAAUUUACAUAACUUUGAAGAUUCAUACAAGUCGUAAUUUAACUUAACUGAGAUACACAAUAUUUGUAACACCCCUAACUUGAACUUGUCGCCUACGGAGUAUUACUGGAGUUUACAGAACAAAUAGAUAGAAAUUUCAAGCAUUUCAUAUCAUAUAAUAUUCAUAUCAUAAACCAACCGAAAACAAACAUAUUUUCCCUUAUAUAAGCCUUCGAGGCCCAAAAUAUGCAUUAAAAACAAGUUAGGACUAAAUUAAAUACUCAAAAAAAUUUGAAAAACAUUGAAAAUUUUCAAAGCUAUAAGGGACACAGGGCUGUGUGGCCUGGCCGUGUGGGCAUUCGAAAUAGGGACACACGACUGUGUCCCAGCCCGUGUCUGUACCCGUGUAACUCUCUGACUUGGGUCACAUGGCCAAGUCAUACGCCCGUGUCCUAGGCCGUAUUAAGUAUACUGACUUGCGCAAUUUUAAAGAUAUAGGGGACACACGGCCGUGUCACCUAGCCGUGUGUCACACACGGCUGAGACAGACGCCCCGUGUCUCUGCCUGUAUGGACAAAAAUAGACCAUUUCUAAGCCAUAUUUCUCACCUAAUUUGGUGCCAACCUAAACACAAAAAUUUGCAUAUCAACAAACCAUAACAAGGCAUUCAAAUCAAGCUAAAAUCAAGUCUUAAACAUAUAUUAUCACAAUAUACAACCAAUAUACCUUUAGGCACCUCAAAUGAAAAAUUAAUAACAUGUCAACCAAAUAUCCAUAUUUACCUAGAUAACCAAAUGCAUAUAUGUAUAAUUAUACCUAAUAUACCAUUUUAAACCAAUCAUCAAUAUACCUAUAAUUUUUCCUUCAUUCAACCAUAUCAAACGUACAUUAAAUAUGUUAAUGCCACAUAUAUAAACACAUCAAAAUACAUCAAACACAAGCCAUUCAAAUGGCUUGUCUCAACAAAACAUUUAUAAACCAACAUUGGCCAAAAUAUCCUAUACAUGCCAUUAUAAUCGAAAUUAAUUUACUGAAAGUACCAAAAGAGCCAAUGGAUAGUGUGAAAUAGCUCCAACUAGCUUCCAACCCAAAUGAGCUUCUGAAUUACUAUAAAACAUGAAAAAUAACACAUAGUAAGCACUUAAGCUUAGUAAGUUUGUAUAGUACAGAAUUUAACUUACCAUAUUUCCACAAAAUAGGUAAGUAAAUAUAGAAUAUCUCAAUCAAUUUGGCCAAAAGCCUAAACACAUGAUCACCAACAUAUUAGCCAUAAAAAUCACAUAUCAAAUCCAACCCACAUGGUUGAAUUCAUUAAAUAAUCAUAUUUCAUGUAUAUACCGGUAAUAGUUUAUAUCAAACUCGUAUGAUUUCAUAAUAGAAUUGUGCCUGUUGAACCAUUUAGAAUACCGUUGGAUACACGGGUAGUACACACGAGGUGUACUGAACUAUAAUCCGUCAAUUUAUAUUCAUGUAUGCUCAUACGAGCUGUAAACGAAAAGCUCCUUCGAGUUGAAUAACGGGAAGCUCAUGCGAGCUGUAUAAUAGGAAACUCAUAUGAGCUGUGGUGUGUCCGCAACACAUGCAGGACCCAAACCAAAUCGAUAACCCUAAUGACAUGUCAUUUGUAUCCUACGAAUUUCAUAAGGUUCGCACAGGACUCGGUAAUCGUCGAAUAUACAAUCGAUAUUUAUUCAUGGAAAUUGUACAAUUCACAAACAAUAAUUCAAUUCAACACAUAUUAAUGUAGAAUUUAAUUACAUGAACUUAUCCAGUGAGUUUAUGUAGAUACAAAGGCGACUAAUCCGAUAUUUUUCCUUUGCCUCGAUUUAACUCUAUACUAGGUCUAACCGGAUCUAUACGAAUGAAUUUAACUCGAUUUAAUAUAAUUCAUAUUCAAUUUAGUCCAACACACAUUUUUUGGCAAAAUUAUUAUUUUUCCCUAUACUUUUAAUUUAUUAUAAUUUAGUCCCUAGGCUCGAAAAAUGACUUUCAUGCAAUUUAAUCCUUACUCAAGCCUAGUCAACUUUUAUACAUAUUAAUAGCAGUCCACAUAAUUCACAAUUUCACAAUUUUACCAUAAAUUUAUCAUCUUUUUCAAUUUAAUCUCUAAUUGAUAAUUUCAUCAAAAUUCUCUUUACAAAAAUUGUUUAUCUAACAACAACCUUUCAUUUUUUUAUCAUAAAACUUUAAAAUUCAAGAACACUUAUCAAUGAUGGAACCCUAAUACUUUAUCGAUUUUGCAAAUUAAUCUUCGAGCUAGCUAGAUUAAGCUACCAUGAUCUCGGAAACAUAGAAUGAGAUUAAGCUAGAUUAAUCCUCGAACACUUAUCAAUGGCAAAACACAUUCUUUCUAUGUUUGGCCAACAUUUGGUGCUCGAAAAAGUGAGUUGAAUUUCUCUUUUCACCUAACCACCCAAUUUACUUGAAUUUUCUAAAUGAGAAUGAAGCAAUACUUGAGUUUUUCAAAUGAGAAUUAAAUGAAAUAACAACAAUUUAGGAUUUUCCCAUUUGCCAGUCCAAAGUGAUAGUCAUCCUGUCAAGCUAUGAAAAUUGAAGGUUAAAUUUAUAGUUAAAUUUAAUUUAUAAAUGGAUUUAACGAAAAAUGUUAAUCAAAAUAUUGAAAAUAGCAAUUCAAAAAGUAAACUAACGAAUUUUGAAUAAAUAAAAGUAAAUGGACUUUUUAUGGUACAAUGUCAAGUUAUAAAUUGGGGAGGAGAGAAUUAUAUCAACAAAGUUUGAACCUUGACCAUUGAACUAUCAAUAAAAUGACUUAAUCAUUAUUUUCCUAUGUCAUUGAUAAAUACAUAGUCAUAAAAUUUAACCUAUUAAAAAUUAUUUAUUUCAAUACAUAGUCAUAAAAUUUAACCUAAUAAAAAUUAUUUAUUUCAUAAUUUUUAGUUUUAUUAAUAUAAUAUUUUAUAGCCUUAAAAUUUUAAAAAGCCUUUUUAAAAUAAUUAAUAAAUCAAUUAAGCUUGUAAUAAAAAAUUACACUCAAUUAAAACAAUCAAUUGAAUACCUAAAAGGUAAUUUUUCAUCAAAGCCCUUAAUGAGCCAUUAAGUGAUAAUGAUGUAGCUAAUGUGACAACUUAAUUGUUUUUUAAAUUAUAUUAUGAGGGGUUUUAAGUCUAAAAAUAUUAACAAAACUACAAAUUUUUAAAUAAUUAAAAAGUUACAGAAAACCAAAAAAAAUGAAAAAUAUUAGAAAAAUAUUUUGAGAAAUAUGAAAAAUAUUAGAAAAAUUAUUAUAAAAGGUAAAAAAGUUGUAGAAAGUUAUAUUAAAAUUAUUAAAAUGAUAAAAAAAUAUAAAAAAAAAUUCAUUUUGAUUUUGUUAAUAAGGCAUGAGGAAUUUAAAAUGUGAUGGUGGUCAAACUUACAUGGGAUAUCGAGUGUUGAGUCACUAGAGUGAUAGAUAAUGGUUUAGGUUGAGGAGAUGCGAUGCAAGUGGAGUUAAUAAAUGACAAGGAUGGAUGGAGAUGUGAUACAAGGGAAUGUGAAGGAAAACAAAAAAGCAAUAGCAAUUUUUAUUUAUUUAUAAUAUUUUAUAAAUUUUAUUUUAGUUUUUUUAUAAUUUUUCUAUAUAAUUUAUUUAUUUUUAUAAUAAUUAUAGAAAAAUAAAAAUUAUUAAAAGUUUUAAAAACUAUUAGAAUUUAUUAAAAUACUAUAAAAAUUAUGAACCUUAUAGAAAAUUUUAAAAUUUUAAAAAUUAUUAGAAAUUUAUAAUAUAUAGAAUUUUCUAAAAAAUAAAAAAUAUAAAUUACUUAUCAUUUUAUAAAAUUUUAAUAAUUUUAUUUUGUAACAUUUCAAUAAUUUUUAUUAAUUUAUUAUUUAAAAAAUUUAAUAUAAUUUUCUAUAACUUUUUUUUAUAGUUUUAUAAAUUUCUAUAAUUUCUCUAAUUUUUAUAAAUUUUAUGCUAAAAAACGCUUCCAAAUAGUUUUAAAAAAACUCAAUUAACCUCUCUUAAGAUAAUUUAAAAAAUGCAAUGACAUCUUGAAUGACAAAGGUUGUGGAUUCCUCUGUUGAGAUCAUUGGUGAGGAAGAUGACGGUGGCCUACCUGAAGAUCUUUCUACUAAAAAGGUCCAUCUUAAGGAGCAGCAGAUGGCUUCAGACUUAUCAAUUAUGGUUGAUUUGGAUCCUACACCGACAGUGACUUGGAAAGAUAAGCUCUUGGGAGGGUCAUCAACCAAGGGAGGGCUGACUGAAAUACUAAAGUUGGGCAGGGAGUCUGAUCUGGAAUUUGUUGAGGGAGAUAUCAAGAAAUUGGAUAUUAACAGAACUUCAUCAAUUGAUUUUUUUGAAAAUGUUAACCAGCUACUAGUUAAGGAUAUGGCUUUGACGGUCGUGAUUAAGCUACUUGGCCAGAAUAUUGGAUUUACGACUCUCCAAAACAGAAUAUCCAACUUGUGGAGACCUUGGAUGCUUUUUCACCUAAUAGACAUUGAAAAUAGAUAUUAUUUAGUUAAAUUCCAAAGCAAAGAUGAUUAUGAUAGAGUUUUGAACUAAGAAAAUUGGAUUGUUUUUGUCUAGUACCUAACGAUCCAGCCUUGGUCAACGAACCUUGACCCUGCAAAACCAUACCUGAGCUUGGUUAAGUUUUGGAUUCGCCUCCCUGGUCUUCCGGGUCACUUGUAUAACUGGAAAAUUCUAUUGGAGAUUAGAGAAUUGGUGGGGAAAGUUGUGGGGUUGGAUUUUAAUACUGAUAAUAGGGCUAGGGGUAGGUUCGCUCGGAUGGUCGUGUUUGUCAAUCUAGAUAAAUCCCUGAUUUCUCAGAUUCUGAUCAAUGGCAUUCUCCAACACAUUGAGUACGAAUCUUUGUCGGUGGUGUGCUUUACUUGCGAUCGGUACAACCAUGGAAAUGAGUUGUGUCCAACUGCUAAAAUGGUUGUGGUGGAAGAGGGAGAGCAAUCUGCUGGAGUUAGAAUCGGAGAAUCCGAUGUGGCAAUAGAGUCAACAAAUAGGGAGGUUGAUUCGGUGAACUAUGGCCCUUGGGUGUUGGUGGAGAAGAAAUCAAGGAAAAUAUCCAGGGAAGAUCGGGGUUUUAGAGCCAGAAAUUGGGGAAUAGAUCUAGUGGAUCUCAUUUCAAAGUCCUAUCCAUCAAGGGAAAUGGUGAAAGCAAAGGGGCUGGGGAGAAAACUUAAGGGACAGAGGAUAAAAGAUUUGGAUGAAGAAAUAUCUGGGAUCAUUAAUAAGGGUAGGAAAGUUGGGCUGGAGCUAGGGUCCAAUGGCUUUUUGGACAAAGGUAAAAAUGGUGGGAAGUUGGACCGAAGUCUUUUUGGUGGACGAGUUUAUAACAGCGUGGAAGGGGCUGUUCCAUCAGCUAAAGCCCA